CCUACGGGAGGCAGCAGUAGGGAAUAUUCGUCAAUGGGCGCAAGCCUGAACGAGCGAUGCCGCGUGAGUGAAGAAGGCCUUCGGGUCGUAAAGCUCUGUUGCGGGGGAAAAAAAGCAGCAUCAGGGAAUGGGUGCUGGCUGAUGGUGCGACGCCAGAAAGUCACGGCUAACUACGUGCGAGCAGCUGAGGUAAUGCGUAGGUGGCGAGCGUUGGCCGGAAUGAUUGGGCGGAAGGGGUGCGCAGGCGGUCCGGCAAGUCUGGAGUGAAACGGAUGAGCUCAAAUCAUGCAUGGCUUUGGAAACUGGAGGACUGGAGAGCAGGAGAGGGCGGUGGAACUCGAUGUGUAGCGGUAAAAUGCGUAGAUAUAUGGAAGAACCCCAGUGGCGAAGGCGGCCGCCUGGCCUGUUGCUGACGCUGAGGCACGAAAGCGUGGGGAGCAAAUAGGAUUAGAUACCCCAGUAGUC
RNAcentral lists this ribosomal RNA (465 nucleotides) under uncultured bacterium. Its description in RNAcentral is "partial 16S ribosomal RNA". It matches the Rfam family "Bacterial small subunit ribosomal RNA", at positions 338 to 795 of the family's 1533-position model. The record is from RNAcentral.